This is an unclassified non-coding RNA of Propithecus coquereli (Coquerel's sifaka), 101 nucleotides long. It matches the Rfam family "Y RNA". Rfam says of the family: Y RNAs are components of the Ro ribonucleoprotein particle (Ro RNP), in association with Ro60 and La proteins. The Y RNAs and Ro60 and La proteins are well conserved, but the function of the Ro RNP is not known. The record is from Ensembl. NCBI's taxonomy places the organism in Eukaryota, Metazoa, Chordata, Mammalia, Primates, Indriidae.
GGCUGGUCCAAGUGCAGGGGUGUUUACAACUAAUUGAUCACAACCAGUUACGAUUCCUUUGUUCCUUCUCCACUCCCAUUGCUUCACUUGACCAGCCUUUA